GGGUCUAAUUGGAUUAGAUCAUAUUUGCAAAAUUGAUAUGCUAGCAUAUGUUACAAAAACUAGCUCCCUAUUUCGAAUCGGGUUCGAAAUUGAAUCCAGAUUGGGCUAAUUAAGGCCAAAUUAAUUUAAACCAAUUUUAGAGUUGAGUUGGGUCAGCCCAUAGCUAUAUUUAUCAAAAAAUUUAAAGCUAGAAAACUAAAUCUCCAUGAGU
RNAcentral lists this long non-coding RNA (211 nucleotides) under Elaeis guineensis (African oil palm). RNAcentral describes it as "long non-coding RNA (EGUI_LNC073422)". The record is from RNAcentral. Lineage: Eukaryota; Viridiplantae; Streptophyta; Magnoliopsida; Arecales; Arecaceae.